GAUGAACGCUAGCGGCAGGCCUAAUACAUGCAAGUCGGACGGGAUUCCGGAGCUUGCUUCUGAUGAGCGUGGCGCACGGGUGCGUAACACGUAUGUAACCUACCUUUAUCAGGGGGAUAGCCUCUCGAAAGAGAGAUUAAGCCCGCAUAAAAUCACAGCACAGCAUUGUGUAAUGAUCAAAUAUUUAUAUGUUAAAGAUGGGCAUGCGCAGCAUUAGCUAGAUGGCGGGGUAACGGCACACCAAGGCGACGAUGUGUAGCGGAUCGGAGAGGAUGAGCCCCCCCCCCACACUGGUACUGCGACACAGACCAGACUGCUACGGGAGGCAGCAGAAAGGAAUAUUAGGGAAUGAGGCGUGGCCUGACCCAGCCGCGCCACUUGCAGGAAGACGGCGAUACGGGUUGUAAGCUGCUUGUAAACGACAAUAGACCCAGAUACGUGUAUCUGGCUGAAUGUACUGUAAGAAUAAGGAACGGCUAACUCCGUG
This 487-nucleotide ribosomal RNA is filed under the name uncultured bacterium. RNAcentral describes it as "partial 16S ribosomal RNA". It matches the Rfam family "Bacterial small subunit ribosomal RNA", at positions 28 to 507 of the family's 1533-position model. The record is from RNAcentral.